Molecule: long non-coding RNA, 548 nt
Organism: Gopherus evgoodei (Goodes thornscrub tortoise)
Lineage: Eukaryota; Metazoa; Chordata; Testudines; Testudinidae
Exons: 2
Source: RefSeq, a predicted model, not a curated record
CCUGCAGCCCCUCUCCACCACACUCAUCCCUUCAACCCCUCUCCCCCCCACCGCAGGACACAGACUCAGAGGAGGAAACGUGUGGUUUUUCACUGCUUUUGAAGAUGACAUACAAUGUCCUAUCCUCUAUGAAAGUGUGAUGGCCAUCCUGGUAGCUGACACCAAGGUUUGAACCAGGGACCUCCAGAACUGAAAACAUGAGUCCCUACAGCGUAAGUGAGUAGUAUACAGAUUUGAGAACUUAAUGGUGCAUCCAUUCCAUCCUCAGUUAUACUCUAGUGAAAUAUCUCUGGAUUUAGUAACUGAAGAUGAACUCUUGCCUAUUGUUUCUAAGAAGAAAAAGCAUUAGGAAUUUGGAACUUGGACUUGUUCAGUGUUCAUUGUUAAUAAAUACAAAGUAAUGCACUUUGGAAGGAAAAAAGUAAACUACUUGUACACAUUAGAGUUUUAAAUGAACAUAUCAGCUCAGGAAAGGAUCCUAGGCAUCACUGUCUACAGCUCAAUGAAGACUGCUUAAUAUGCAACUAUGCUUUAAAAAAAAAAAAAAA